Long non-coding RNA from Synchiropus splendidus (mandarinfish), 18735 nucleotides. RefSeq lists it as uncharacterized. Lineage: Eukaryota; Metazoa; Chordata; Actinopteri; Syngnathiformes; Callionymidae. The transcript has 4 exons. The record is from RefSeq and is a predicted model, not a curated record.
UUCACGGUCACCGAUGCUUUGCUGCUCAGUCCUUUUGGUGCAGGGCGAACUUGCAAGACUUCUAGCGAACAUACUACAAAGGCGGCGGCUUCGUUUGUUGUUGCAGUACUGCCUUUAGCCACAAGAUGACGUGUCCGACUAACAGAUCGCUGGGGAAUGACGCAGCGACUCCAGUUUGGCAUCGACGGCUUCUGUACAAGGAAGGAGAGAAGGAGGUGACACUCAUUCAGAGGGAACUGAAACACAACCCUGAAGGUUGCAGUGCAGAGACACGCAGUCGCUCUGGUAUAGAAGAUCUUGGAGCGUGUAGACGCGCUGGACGCCGAGUGAGCGCUCCAGGCCGUCCUGGAGGUACGGGUCGUAGAAGAUGACGUUGAAGCCAAAAGCCUUUGCCCGCAUUGACACCGCCUGACCCGAGCGACCUGGGAGGAGCAGACGGUGGGGGUCUUCUCUGGUCAGAGUGAUGGUGUGGUACAUCAUGGCACCCACCGCCUCGUUCAGCACCUGAGGGAGGGCAGAAGGGAAAACUUCAUCAGUAAGACCUUUCUCUGCUUUGGGAAUUUGCAUUUGUGAAAUGAUGACCACACCAUUGUUGUUCUUAAUCAAUAUCAGCCACAUUCAUAUUCAGAUGGAGCAAAUAUUAUUAUGUAUGAGGGACAUGUUGUGGUGGGCAUUAAUAUGGCCGCACUCUGCAGGAUGCACUUUAAUGUGCACUAUCCUUCAUCUAAAUGCAAAUGGUUUGUUUACGUGCACUCUAAAAUACUAGAGUGUUUAUAAUGAGUUCUUUACCAAGCUGGUGUUUGUCACAAUCAAUUCACUCCGACUGCAUACAAACUGCAAAAGAAUGGAAGCCGAACGAUCCAUAAGGUGGAGUGAGAAACCAGGAGAGCAUAAUAAGUAGCUGCUGGCGGAACAGCACUUGGAUUUUACACUCUAGUAACAAGGGUGAGUUUUAAUGAAGUGAAGAGCACUGAAGCUAGAUGCUAAAACUGCUGCUGAACAUCAUUCACGUUUGCUUGAGCGCAGUGUUCGGCUGGAAACGAGGCUGGAAAAAUGACAGAACCAGUGAGGAAGCAUCAGGGAACCGAGCCGAGCCGGCUGAAGUGGAAAGAGUGAGCAAAUGGGUUUUGAAUUAUGCUCAUUAGUUAAAGUAGUCCUCGGCAGUCUUGAGCGGGCCCACCGCCACACACAACGCUCGCCGUCGUAUUGUUCUUAUUGGAGGCUUAUUAUCCACCGCAGCGGCGGGUCAUGAAUAUGGCAACAAAGACGACAAGCUAAUCCUUUACUCAUGCUAAUGGCACAUUUAUUAAGACCACUACUCUGUAUUUUAGCUCAGGGAUUCAUUAUGCUAGUGCUGAUGCGUCCGUUCAUUGUGUGGCAGAAUCCCUGAAGGUUGCCUAGCAACCUGAAGAGGACAGCAAUUAGCAAAAAGUUGGUGAUUACAAAUCUGUGACAAUAGAUAAUUCAAGAAUACGACUGGAAGAAUUGUUCAUUAUACCGGGAAUAGCAGGUUUCUUUCAACUGUAUUUUUGAUCAUGAUCAGUUUACCAUGCAUUACAAGUGGAUAGAACUGGGAAAACCCUGACCUUCAAACUGCAUGGCUUUAAUUUAAAGAUCUCUCUGUGUCGCGGGGAGUGGGAAUCUUUCACCGUCUCAUGACCGAUUCAAAAUCCACGUCUCGAUUGAAAACAAUUUUCUUCAUGUUUUCUGAUGACGAAACUAAUUUGCAAGACAGAAAAACAAAUUAGACAUUGAAGUGUCUCUUACAGGAAAACAAAAGCCCCUCUUUAUUGAAAUAUAAUAAUAAUAUUCACUUCAACAUGUUAAAAUUCUGAGAAAAGUGCCUGUACCGGUGACUGUUCUUUUAGUCUCUCGGUCAAACAGCUCUGUCCGUAAAAAACUGAUCCCCGGGAGGUGCCUUGCAAUACGAGCCAGCACAUUAGCUACUUGAUCCUAGCUCAGGCACUGUUGGCGUCAUUCAGCUCAGUGUUUCCGGCCAUUCAGCAAAACGCCAAAUGACGCCAAACUGUAGCCUUUAGCCCAGAUGGAACUGCUAGGUGCGCCUCCCCCCCCAUCGUUGUUUUCUGGUUAUUUCUGUGCUAGAACGGCCAGAACGGGCUGGGUGGUGACGCCAGGACGUUGCGCAUAGUUACAGCUCUAAAUCAGUUUAAAUCAAUUUGGAGACAUCUUAAAUCAAUUCUGAAUCGUAACAAAUGACAAUUGCAAUUCAUAUGUGAUUGAUUUUUAGGCUCACCCAUAGUUUGAUACACAAUACAAACGGGGCCUUGUAUAACCAUGGGGAUGGAAAAUACGAAUAUAGAGCCAGAGAUCACUUGGAAAUACACUGAAAGAACUACUUACUGCAGGACUUCUGAAUAUACUAGUGUCAUCCUGGUUCAACACUCAACUUAUAUCAGAGUUGAAAGUAAGUUUAUGUCAGCCUCAUGUUGACCUUCUCAAUCCACUUUACAGCAGUUUCAAUUGAAAGCUUGAAACAUACUGAUAACUUCCUGUCCAUGGCAUUCAGCGAAACAUAUUUCUUCAUUCAACCCCACACUCUUGAUCUCCUCUUUCUCUGAGAGAAUCUAGAUCUCUGUCUUCAUUACCGGGCGAUUUCUUUUGUUAUUGCCGGGAUGAAUAAACCCUUCAUGCAUGUCGGCUGUCACGAUCUUGCACUUCAGCCGAGCGAUAAUCAAUAUUACUUUACACUUCAUGAAAACGGUGGAUAUUGAUAUUGAAAUGUAAAGAGGCACUUAAAAGUCAAACAGAAGGAAAGAAAUAACUUCAUUCAUUUCAUUCCUAACACUUGAAAGACAGACAAACUUGAAGAUCAGUCACUGAAAUUAAUAAUGUGUGAAUGAAAACAACUUACAUUUUGAUUGACAUUUGAAGACUUCUGUCUCACCACGAACAGGUUAUAGCUGCAGAUUACUAUUACUUGAGGUCCAUGAAAGUGAUCUGCACAGUUUUAUUUGGGUAUUGUCACAAGCUCAGUUUUGGACUUUAACGCUCAAUGUCAUAUUAGAGUGACAACUCUCAACUCUUUGACUUUUAAAAAUCAGUUUUCAAACUUGUUUUCCCACUAAUUCACCGCCAGUUGUGCCUCAGACUCUUUGCUUUUACAGCCCAACAGUCCACACUGCUGCUUACUACUACUCACCCAGGUUUUGCUCCCAGUUAUCCCCUGCCUUUAGAGUUCUGUUAAGAGAAUCUAUCAACUUCUGCUCUCAUCUAUUUGGCCCACACUUGCAUCGAAAAACGGGAAUUUGAAAAAGAGUCUUUGCCACAAGUUCACUGCUUUCUCACUCAGUCUCAGCCUGAAAUAUGUCUGAGACGCUGCAGUUCCUUGCAGUUCUGAAAAUGUGAGGCGACAUUUAGGCCCACGACUGAGCUGAGUGGAAGAACACAUUGCUAACCACCUUGCUUGGCUGGUUAACACUGUGUUUGCUCAAAUCAAAACACCAGGACUAUUAGAUUACAUUUGUACUGUCCGCCUCCUGUUUCUCUCCACUGCUUCACCAGGCAACACCAUGGAAGCGGUCUAAUUGAAGUGGGAAAGUGGAUCACGCCUGUGGGCUCAAAUAAUAUUAAAACAGCAGAAAGAAGUCGGAGGAUAAUGAGGAUGCAUCUGCACUGAAGUGACAGCAUAUCACAUUCACGGAACUCUGAUUCACUUCACCACACAUACGAACCUAAGUCACUUCCACUGACACGUCUUGAGUUUUCAUCACUACAUAUGAUUUUUUGUGGGAACCGGAAUCCUGUCAUUCACCCAUCCAUCCUCAUCCAUUCACCCCAGACACACUAUACAACCAUAAAUACACACACCAGUCCUUUCAUGCAGACAUUAAUGCUACCAAUAAUCCAAUGAUAGACCCAUCAAUACACUCUCUCGGGUUAUAACACACGCACCCAUCAAUUCACGUGUCAACCCCUUAGCAAACGCACUGAAUUGUUUUAUCCACCAUGUCCAGUCGCUCCAAUUAGCAUCCACCCAUCUGCUCACCUAGUCAUCAGUCCAUCCAAAAUCGAAUCCAUCUUAUGAUUAUAAAAUAUUAAACUAUUUUUUAUUUUAAAAAAAAGUUAAUAAAAAUACAUAAAUAAAUUUAAAAAAUGGAAGUAAAUGCAGAAGUAAAUAAGGAAAAAUAACUAGAAAUAGUUAUGUCAAUGAAUAUAUCUGUUUGGUCUGUUUAGAUGAGGGCGCACUUAUUUCCUUGAAUAAACUGUAUAUUAAUAUGUGCAUUACUACUAAGUAUUGCUUUAUUAAUACUUUAUUAAUACUUAAUAUGUGUUCCCCAAUCAUCUUUUUUUUUUUAGCUCUUUCUCCUUUUAUAUUUCAACAUUGAUUUCUGUAUUGUGGCUCUUGUAAUAUUCCAUUCGGACAUACCUAGUCAUCCCAGCAAUUUUAAUAAAUCAAUGCAUGAAACCACACUAUUCUGCCGCCAACAUUUGAUACAGCUGCUGUGUGCUGGUCUGGAACCUUCAGCCAUUACGUUACGAUCUCUUCUCAUUUCUAUUCCUUUUCCGAGACGGAGGAAUGUGACUGUGGUCAGCGAAAGUAGUCAAACACAAAAUACUUGUCGGGGAAAGUUUGAAACCUUUAGAUAUAGCAAACCAUUAGAUAUAACCUCACCCUCAUUACACUACCUCCAAAACUAAGAUGCUCACGCAGACAUUAUUUCUUUAUUUAGCAACCACAUUGAUAUAUCAAAAAUCCUUUGCUACUUGAGUCACUCAAACACACAGUUGUCGCUUGUGUUUUUCCAGUACCGGAGAACACUGACAAGGAACAAAAAAAGACAUACUAUUUUUCUUACACAAUACAGCGUGGAAAUGACUUUUUAUAUACCUUUUAGUGCUUGAUCAAACUGCACAAUAAAGCUGUACCUCAUGCUCAGCAGAACAAUCAGCCGCAAAGUUGUUUUCCAUUUUGUAACUCCUGUAGUGCAUCAGCCCGAGGGUCUAAGGUUUAAUAUGUAUUUAAUAUUUAUUACCUAUUGUCCUUCAACAAACCCGCCAAUAUCUUGGUGUUAGCGAGCGAGCGCUCCAUCGUCUGAGCCCUACCUUCUCGUGUAUCUCCUGUGUGGACUGGGCGUCGCAGAAGGCCACAGUAGCCAGGUCUUUCAGGAUGGGCAUCUCCACGGUGCAGUCGCGCCCGUCCAGCAGCGCCACAAGGGGGCGCGGGUGCAUAGGCCCAUUCAUAAUCUGGGGCCGAAUACCUGCAGAGACAGAAGAAGCGCAGACUCAAUAUUGAUGUCUGAGAUACAAUGCAGUGAGAGAGGGACUGUGGCCCAAACACACCUGAGCUGCAUCAAUUCACACACAACUCAUCCACCGACACAUCCACUUGUCGAUUUCACUCUCACGUUUGCAGUUAUGAUAUGACCAACCGCUUCAUUGCUGUUACUCAUGCUGUUACCAGGCAACAGGUCCUUUCACCCCAUGAGGUCACCACCUCAAUUAUCUUGUCACCACACACAAGCCAGCACAGGCGUGUGCAUGUGUAUGUGUGUUGCGCCAUCUUCAGUUCACUCGCACUCAAUACGUAAAAAAUAUCAAUUAAAUUUGGACGUCUUCAUAUUGUAAGAAGAUAGUCUGGUCACUUGUGUGUGGUGUCAAGCAGAGAAAAGUUGUUUUGUCAAUACUCCCAGUGACUCGGCAGCCUCACCAUCUGAUGCCGCAGAUGACUUUUUGAGGAGAGACGGUGAGGAAGUAACCGGCCCUUAAAUUCCUCUGAAUAGAAAGAUAGAAAAGAUCAAAAAGAGAACGAAGUGGAGGGGGUGGGGGUGUCCACACACCAGCACUCUGACUCCCUGCUGCCUGUUGUCAUGGUGAUUAGAGGAUUUGGGCAAGGAUUAUGAAAUAUUUUAUUUAGUGGCAUCUGUGCUGCAGGAGAGGAUGUCCAAGCCGGUUCCCUCUCUCUCCCUCUCUCUCUCUGUUGGUUUCAGUUGUCGGCAGCUGUGAUCCCAAUCCACUACAAGAUGGCAACAUUCAAAAUGAGAUCAGAUCGGACGUAAGGUGCAGCAUAGUAGAUUAAAAAUUCAAUAUGUUUCGGUGUAUAGUAAAAGAAAAAAGUCAAGCAAAUGAAAGCAACUUAAAAAAAAAUGAUGAGAUAGUAAUAGUAUGUCUGGCAUCAACAAGGUCCUGUCUUGAAAGGUGUGUCACUCCACCGUGGGCUCGGGCGGGUUUCAGCUAUAUCGUUUUAAGACGUGAGUGGAUCACUGCCAGAACGCAGACGUUUACCAGUCAUGACUGAGGUUUACUGUAGAUGACGUGUAAAGUCAUGAAGUCAUAGCAGGAGACAGUUGAGAGUCUGACAGUUAUUUUGCUCCCUCUCUGGCUGGUGACUCAAAUGUUUUUCUCCCGCGUGAACCUGGAACCUCACGUAACCAUCCCACUUCUGGCACCACAGUUUCGUCACUGGUCAGAAUGCUUUGUAGAUUUACUUUACUGGUCCUUACCAGGGAAAUUACAGUCAAUAUGACCAACGUGACUGCAGGUUUUCAACAAGAAAGUCUUGAGUGAAAACAGCAGAGUCUCUGAGUAUGAAGGAUGCCAAUGUAUCCACCACUAUCAACUGCAGGUGAUACUGAUGAACAAUAUAAGUUAGUGUUGUAGUCAAGAGCACACCGACCGAGACCAAGACAUUAUUGAGACUGGAGAGUACCGCGACAAGGCAUUUGGAGUAUCUGUAAGGAGUCUCAAACUGAUCCUCAAAUGAGCCGUGGUGGUUAACCAGGUCAGGUGUUAGCUGAAACAGGCAGCACCAGUCUGACAACCAAGAGUCUGCUGACACCUGACUGGAGUUCAGGUAUCCUCUUUAUGAAUUCACACACACUGAGACACCACAAUCUUUCAGCAUCAAGGAAGCUAAACACAUAAAUAUCACAUGACCACGCACAAUGAAUAAUGCAGCUUUUGCUCAUCUGAACGUAUGGUUAAACGCACUGCUCAUUUUUUACAGAAGCAAGCAUCAAAAUUACAGCCCAGACGGCGAUGAAAAGUCACCGUAGACGGGAGCCAUGAUUCAUCUAAAAGUCAGUCUAUUUUGCAGACAGAUAGGUGAAAGACAAGCGUGCUGAAGAGCAGUCGAGCAAUUUUAGAACCAGCUUUUUAUCGCCAUUAUCUCUCAUAUUUCAUUUUUCCACAGAGCAGCUUGAAGGACGUAUUGUAAGAUGUAAGUGAUCACCUUUUAAAAAGCUGUUAAAGGGACGAUCCAUCAUUUUAACACAGGCCAUGCUGACGGAUGGAACAAAAUGAUGCUUUCAGUUCUGUUUUUUUUCUUUUUUUGGAAGGAGGGCAUGACGGAUAGCAAACGCAUACUCAGAACAAAUGACUUCUUUAGGUCGCAUCUGUAAACCUUUCCACUUGUAGCGCAGAAGAAUCAAGGUUUGUCAGAGCUGUGUAGUGUUUGGUUCCAACUGUUUUGCCUUUUCUUUUCCCACUCUAGCUCACUGAUGUUCAUUUUGUGAUGCUAAAGAUUACAGUGUGACUUUCCUCUGGAUCUCUUUAUAGAAGCCUUGGAGAAGAGGGGAUUCACCAUAUUGCUGGUUUGUUCAGUCAGUAAGACGCCAACUAGAUGUGUAGUAAAAGAAGCCAUAAACAUUUUAUCUGUUCUCAUUUGCCGCUGCCUAUAUUCCAGGACGCAUGCGUUCUGUAUUUAACUGCAAGACUCUGUAAAACUUGCAGAGUUGAAUCCUGAAACACAGAGAUGGUAUACAGGAUCAUCAACUCAGGGUUCAUUAACUCAUUAAAGUCUAUUGUUAGAACAGCCACUGGCCACUUCUGAAUUAAUGACAACAAUGGCAAAGUCUGCCAAUGCAUCAUCUAUUGAUAUCUACAUCUCCAAACUACUUUGCUGCUUUUGCUCCAUCAGCUUGAGCGCUGGCCGCUGGAACCACAUUUGCAUGAAUCAUUAUUAUUUAGCAAAUGAUCUGAUACUUGUACAUAUUGAAACAUAAAUACUGAUCUUUUUCCCCUCAAAUGGUGACUAUAAUGAAAACAUGCAAUGUAAAUGUAAAUAUGGCGCACAUUAAUGAUUAUGGAAAAGGAUUUUAAAAAGUGUAGUUUAUCGGCAAAAAUAAAUAUAUAAAACCACAACAAUAACAAAAAACAAAAUAAACAGAAUAAAUAAAGUGCAACCACAAUAACUGAAUCAGGAAUAAUACAAAAAUUGCAAUUGCUUCCUGUUUUUUUGUCGUGGCAUCUUUGUUUAGUAGCUGUGAUUCUGUUUCUGGAAUUGUGCUUGGUAGUUGUGCUAAGUCUAUUUUUUGAAUUCUUGAUGAUGAUGAUGAACUAAAAAAAAUGGUUAUUGUCAACAACAGUGCAGCAUUUAAAAACAUUAUUCAAUAUGUAUCCGAUGAUAAAAAAGCUGAAAUAUUGUUUGAAAUGAAAUAACAUUGAAACAAUAAGAACAAAUAAUAGCUGUGAUCUCAUUAUUCUAAUCCACAGAUGCUGUUAGAAAAAGGUCACUGGCUCCAACAAGUGGCUUCUAGCACGCGCUGACCCCCACGAUGUGGAUGUGGAUGUGGAUGACUCAGGAGUUGAGGAAGAAGGCCGGCUGUGACUCCGCACCUCUUUGUCUGCUCUCACACUCGCAGCCCAGCUGAGCUCACCGUCACGGCUGAGACGCAACACACACGCAGCGCCACACCGCAGCAGCUGGUGACAGGAAGAGCCGUGUCACUGGUAGGAAGUAGGUCAAACACUGUUGAUUCAUUAUUUCCUGAUGGCUAAUUGCUUCUUCUGCAGCCUAAUAAGGCAGAACGUGGCAGCGCACUAAACACAUGAUGAAUGGCUGGAUAAUGAACUACUAACAAGCUUUUUAAUGCGGGGAUUUAAUGACUUGGAUACCUGACGAACGACUGCUAAAGUUACACUGAGAAAGUCCUUUAACAUGACGCUGGAUGAUGGAGUUACAUUUGGGUGUAAACUGACUGCUGUCUUCCUAUGUUGUGGGUGAUCCAGCAUCGAAAUAAUGUCAUGAAGAUACAAUAUUUAAUAAUCCGUCCCAGACCACGUCUCCAUCUCUUUUCCUGGGACCCUAAUGCAUUUUCAAAUAGGUAACUCUGUCAGGGAGGGGAAAGGUCAGGGAGUGGAGGCAACAUUCGGCAGGUUGACUUCAAUUAUUCAUGUAUGUUGAGCCGCUCGGUGGGGGAGCGCCUUCCUGCCCCAGCAGCCACUGGUGGAGAGCAUGUGGCUGUAGAGAAGUUUUUUUCCCCUCAUAUCACACACAAUUACUAUUCAUUUCCCUUUUUCUGCUUGAGAGCUACCGUAAUUUCCAGACUAUAAGCACCUACUUUUUUUCUUGUGGUCAGGACCCUGCGGCUUAUACGGCAUGGCUAAUACAUGGAUUUUUACAGGCUAAAGAGCGUCAUGCUGCCAAGUUAUUGGCCUUUGUCACAAGAAACCAAUGAAAUCACAAGUGUUUGUUUACGCUAAAGCGCUCAAAAUACGCUGUUUUGGCCCACAUCUCCACCAACAGAGCCGACCUCCUGGAGGACCGCAGAUGAGAAGCAGCAGCUGAGACCAACUGUGGCGUCGGAACUUCUAGGACACGAGAGUAAACAGCGCAUUUUAAUGUGAUUAGAAGAUGUGAGGAGCUCAUGAUUCAAGUUCACAACAUUUGUGAGUUUGUUUCAUGAGUCAGUCUCGAUGCUGGACGUUUUCAAUACUAGUUUAGAAGUGAUCUUCAUGCAUUUUUAAGCCGAGUGCACCACUGACCAUUUUUCGGCGCAGACAGCACCAAUGCACCCGCGGCUAAUAGACCACUGCGACUUAUGAUGAACAAGAUCUGUUUUCCUUCUUAAAUGUAGUGCUUUGAUGUGCAACAGUGGCAGACAAGCCACUCCUCUUAUAGGCUUUAAAUCAGACUCGCGAUUGUUGAGUCUGACUCAGACUCGUACGUCAACAAUUAUAAUUAGUGUCGAGACAGUUGGUCCUCAUAUCUUCUGAUUUAGCUUCGGAAAUAACUGAAGAUAGGUCAGAUUAGCACAAACAAUAAGUUUCUUGUCAUAUUCUUGAAAAAGCAGCUAAUUCACAAGUGCUCACUUAACAAAAAAAAACUCUCUCAGAACUGUUAUUCUGAAUGAAAGAGCAAGUAAAAAGAUGAAGCAGCAACAGACCCAACAGCCAAAACAAGUCGACAAACUAUUGAAGAACUAGGUUGACGUAGCUAGCAUGAGUCGCUUCAGUUAUUAUAUCAUGAGAGUCUAGCUGCACACUUUAGUGAUGAGAAACUGGUGACUGCAACUGUGAAUUCAGGCCCUUAUGGAACACAGAAACAAGACAACACAAUCCCUUAAAGUAUGAGACACAACAACUUGGUACAACCAUUUUUUUUACCAGAUUCUUAGCAGCAUCUCCAGAAUGUCAUCAUUUGUGGAAGUCUUUUAGAAACCUUUUUUUGAACAACACAACUUAAAGUCAGUGAGACAGUUUUGGCUGUUUAUCAUUUGGAGAGAAAUGUAAACCGCAUGUGCCAACCUCUUGUUAUUGUACUUAUCGCUGCACAAUAGCCAGCAUUGUGUUUGAGCCAGUAGAGUAAUGGAGGAACAAGGCCAACGGCUUGAGGAACAAUAAAGCGUGUGGAGUGUGACAGCAGAUCGCCUGGUCCCACUGAUGUAUGCGGGGAUGGUGUGUGUUCUGACAUCCCUCGGGGAGAAGCUCGGGCUGACUAAAAGCUGAUAUCAUUCUUGAGACGGUGCUAAUCAACAGCUCAGUCAUCCUCCAGGAAGUAUGAAAACUUUGGCGGCGUUGGCCAGCACAUUCCAAGCAAAAACAACCCACAAAUGGAUUACAGAUGUUCAGACAAAUAAAAGCCCUGUCGGAUUCCAACAACAGCCCUUGAGUAGGAAAAAAGAGAAUCACAAAAAUAUUCCUCUUUUUGAGUGAACACGAUCUUGUGUCUUUCAUUUGAAUGUGCUGAGAUGUUGGAAAAGAUACCAGAGUCAAAGCCAAGCGCCUCGAGUCAGAGGUUUAACAAGAGGAAUCAUUUCCUGAAUUAAACUCGCAAUGAAAAGAGGAAGAUAACAACUGCCCUCUGAGUUUUGAACCAUCUUUGUUCAUACCUUCUGCAACGCCUGUAAAACUAGCUGGCGGUGACACAUAGCUGCAGAGUUCUUUGGAAAGGGAGCUUUUCCAGCUGACAGCAGUGCCACACCAGGAACAGGCAACAGAUAACAGGUUGAAGAUGGAGCUCUCUUAGUUUGAGUGACAUCUUCAGUAAGGGUGCCUUGCAGACAUCCAGAUUGAUUCAUAGCACCCUCCUUUUAGGUCAGUAGGUGGCUUCACUGUUGUUUGCGGUCCCAAGAGGUUUUUGAUGGCCUGACUUUAUUCUGUGUUGGCAGCAUCGUCUUAGGAGAAAGUGUAAAGAGGUUAUUUAUCCAUCAGCCUGAGCGGUCUGAGGGACAAAAGCAAAAUAGCUUUCAUGAAACUGAGACUCCCAUGGCUGAAGAUGACAGUCACAUUUAAAUGUCACUGCUUUAGAAAACAGCUCAGAAAAAAAAUGAUUUCCAUUCCAACCGACCAAAUCGCAGGAUCCACCCUCAGAGCCAAAAUCUUCUUUUUUUAAUACAGCUCUAUAUGUUUUCCUGUAAGCUUUUUAUUUCUGACAAUAUUCACCCGAUAUUUUCACAUAUUUAUCUGUAGGAUUUUUUUUUUUUUUUUGGCAGAAGCACUCAUCAGCGCCUGGUUUUUGAGUCAGACUCAAAGGUAAAUGGUGCACUUUGGGAAUACUGAGACGUAUUAACUUACCUGUGCCAUUAUGAUUUCCCCAAUAAUUACUGUAUUGUGUAGCGCGCCAUCUCGAAUCUCCAUUAAUAGCCUCCUGGCGCGGUCUAGCAUCAGCACUCACUGCACAGUGACACAUUCAAACCACUUUUUCCUCCCUUCUUUUUUUUAAACUCUCCUAUUUCUUUCGCGCUCUAUUUCCCCGGCUACUUUCGCUUCCACUGGAAAGGUGCUGAAAAGCUCCUGAAUUGGAAGCCAUGGGCGCUCCCUCACUGUGGAACAAUGCAAGUCCAAAAACAAAAGGAAAUGAGGAAGAUUUUCCACACACAGUGUGAUGUCACAGCCACCGUAAGGUUGCAGAGUUCACAGCAAGAAUUUAGAGAAGAAAAAAAAAUGCCACUUGACAUGGAGCCAAAAGUGGGCUCAAUGGGCUUUGACCCAACAGCUGGUUGUGGUUACUUAGCAACUCCCAAGUCCGGGGCACUGCGGUGAGCGGGCCAACUUUAAAGAGAGGUGGUCCAAGGUACCAAUUCUCCAGAUCAAGCUCAGAAGCAAAAGAAGAAUGUUAUCUUGCCUUGUUUUCUGGGUGUGUUCCAAGGAAAACAUUGCUUGUAGAGAUACUUGCAUGGGACUUAUCAGAAUUCACUUCACAAGCGCUUUAAUGUAUCAGUUGUGUCACCAUAGUUGAAUUAAUAUGAAUGUUUUGUUCAGGAGAGGUCGCUGUAUGUUUGUAGAAAAACAUAUGCUGUAAUCUGUCUUCUAAAGGACAGAAAGCAUAUGCUACAUCUAAAAGCAUUUUUGCUGCAAGUGUUGAAUACUUGCCAUAAAUCUCUAGUGUCUUCUUCAAAUCCUCAUUUAUCUUCACUGCUGGAUGAAUCUUGCUCUGUCCUCACCAGCGCUGGCCUGUUUGUAUCCUACAAUGUUGGAGAUAAAGAAUGCUUCUUCUCCACACAUUUGCAGAAAAGCCAUUUCAUCUGACAAACAUGCACGUAAAAUCUGAUUAUUUUAUUGUCUAUUUUGCCCCUUUUCAAAGCCAAUCCUGUGACUUCCAAUACUAGCAGUAGAUAAUUCAUAAAUGUCAAGGAAUACCGCUGAAUUAAAAGGCGUACGAUCAUCUUUGGUUUACGACUAGCCGCCUAUUAUAAUGCAGGUCCCCUUUUGCUUGCCAAAACUUCUGCUCUUGUGGAGUGCUUCCAAUGUUUCCUGGGCUCGUGGGGAGUUUGGACCCAUCGAACAGAUGAGCUGCUGCAGCUCCAACUGCUGAAACGUUAAUGCUGCAGUUUGUCAGGGUGCCCACACUGUCCUCUGAUGCAAGGAUAAAAUAGUACACACGAUAUGAAAGGAAAUAUGUUUAAGCGAGCUAGUGCCCAGAGAACAGUUGCUGCUGCUUCGUUGCUACCAAACUGCAUGUAGUACAGUAUGCAGCAUUACAGUUAGCUUCCUUUCUCCUGAAGUUCGCUGUUCAGGAGGCCUUCUUGUAUAUUUUUCAUUUAGCCAGUCGCGGUUAAGAAAGACCUCAGCUAAAAGUUUGAGCCACGUGCCUACGCUCUACUAGAGUCAUGAGCCUGGAAACAAGAAGAUAUACCAGCACCUUCCCAUCCUCCCCCGCAAAAAAAAAAGAAAAAUGGAACUGAAGGCAGUCAAUAUGAACGUUCUAUUAUUUAUUAAAUGGGUGAAAAAAAAAAGAAUUUUUAAUCACGAAAAGUAAAUCUGCCUAUAACCUAAGCCGUCCUCAUGUGGAAGUCUCUUCAUGUGUCCAGCUGGAAUGCACGACUUCAGUCAUUAUGCAGUUUCUUUUGGGAUUUUUCCGCAAGUAACACGGCAAAAACCAUCACGUUCAUGUCCACCUCCAUUAUGAGUUAUGUAUUAUCCGCCUAUUUCGACGUUUCCACUUCAUUUUAAUGUUUGAUCAUGUGAGAUUUCAUCUUUAAAAGAGGUCUUUGUUUUGACGGUGUAGUGGCUCACAUUUAAGAAGUGGCGCUGCAGCACACUAGUAAGUAUGUGGCGGAAACCCUGUUUCAAAAAAAUUGGGUGGAUGGGGUCUUGUCAGGAUGCUUCCUGGAUGCCUCCCUAGUGAGGACCUAAAGGACAUGGUAAGAUGUGUGUCAGCAGCAGGAGACGUAGAUGAGGGAAGUGUGGGCCUAGUUCUAAACCUAUUUCAUCCUGUAAAGCCCAAACUGACUCACACACUUGGUAAGCACCAAAAACAAAACACGCUCGAUCAACCAAAACAAACAUAAUACUGUGACUUAAUGUUGCAAAGAACAUGGCGCCUAUAUUCUUGGGAGUCUCUGCUUAUCUGUGUGUCUACAAUCCCCAUGGCAUCUGAGGGUGCUUUUUUUGGCAGCGCUGCCUCCUCCUGGCCCCCAGUGGACCCUAACGGCGGCCAGCUUGCCCAGCCUCUAUCUCUUGUUCCUGCAUGCAAACACACAAAGACUUUGUUUGUCCCCCCCGCGGCCUUCCUCCUUCAAACUUAUCGCAACCAGAAUGUUCUGCUAACAGGAGGGGAGCUAAGGGGGCUUGAGGAGCCGGGAGAAAACAGGUUCACGGGCAACAACAGUGGGAAGGAGGAGGGAAAAAAAGCAAUCCCAGGCGGUGUCGGUGACAAAUACAUGACACGGCGUACAACAGAAGACGAGCACUCAUCCAUCACUCUCCUCUUUAAAUGUUGUCUUUUGUGCUUCACUAGCGAGGCUUCAAAACAAUCGGGCUCCUGAGACAAAAGCAGCUGUCAGUGUGGUGGAAGAGCCUUACACACACACACACACACUCACACACCAACAGCACAAGUGCAGAAUCACCUCUGUUACUUCUUCUACAUUAAUACCACGGCAACAAAAAGACAGUUUAGUUCAAAGAAUGACAUGAGAAUAGCUAGGUUUUAAUUCAUUCUCUCUGCGUUUCCUGAUCACUGCAUUUUGUAAUUGAUACAUUCUGUCCUUGGAAAAAAAAUACUACUCUUAAAAAUAAUUGGUAGAUGGAAGAAAUAUGAAUCGAAUUGUCACACUCACUUUUUUGGGAUCAACAUGGACAUAUCUAUUAAACCACUAACUCAGUCAUGAUUCACUGUAUAGUGUGCAGCUGGAGCCGGUCCCAGCUACACAGGGCGAGGGGUGGGGAACACUCUGGCACUGGGAGGCAACGCAAACACACUGGAAUAGUUCUGCUUCUCCUAACCAAUUGGUGUCUUAGGAUUCUAGACAGGCAGCAGCAUGAGCGUUGAAGCACCAGGAGCAGCCAUCUACAUCACCCAUCAGCAUGUUGCAAGUUCACUGCUUGUCCUUCUUUCAACCUUUAGACGGGUGCUGACCACUGCAGACACCUCCCAAGAUGCACCGCAAAUAGGUUCCUGCACAACAACUGCCCAGUGCCCACAGUCGUUCGGCUUUGUCCGAAGCUGGUUUCAAACAAUGGUGCAGAAGGUUGUGGGUUUGAAUCCCAAUGAAGUCACCAGCGAUUAGAAAUGGUCACGCGUUAUAUUGCUUACACUUCAAAGUCUCGGGAAAACAAAGUGCGACGAAAGCUUCGUGGUCACAUCGGUUGGAUUCAACAGAAACACUCUUGUGUGAGCCAAUUCAAGCAGAAGAUUUCUUAAAUGUCACACGCCAAUCUCAGCUCUCACAGGUGAACCGACACUUAACCUCCCUCCGCGCCGUGCACUUUGACCUUUUCAUAGCCACAUCCGACAAGAGUCGCGCUACGUAUUUUUCAUAUUGUUUCCUGCAGGGGAAGCAUGGACUUAGUUAGCGACGCGCACACACACGUACAAACAUACACACGCGACACACUUCAUUGCAGGAACAUAAGAGGCUCAUUAGCCUCAAAGCCAAGUCACCAUCAAUCCCCCCCACCCUCCCUCCCUCCCUCCAAAUGCCCUCCUCCCUCCAUGCUAUCAUAAACGUACACAGAUUUUUAUUCUUAGCUGUCGCACACUAAAACAAGACACUUGCGCCAAAUGAAGGGACAAACAUGCUCCUUGCCUGGAAAGUGUUGUCUCCACAUUCUUGUGAUCAGGAGCUGCACAUGGCAGACGAAAUGUGAUGGAGAGGCAUAUAAAUAAAGUCGGCUGGAGGAGACUGGGGGAGUUCUCAGUCGCUUGCCCGGGGGUUCUCCUCACCUCUCUGCCUCCCCCUCUGUCCACCCUCCCUCUCUCUCUGUUUGUCUUCCUCUGCCGUCUUCAAUAGUUCCCCCACAGCGCGUUUCCAAAUCUGUCCUCCUUGGUCACCUCACGCCCAGAAGCCGCAUCUCUCUCUUCUCUCUCAGUCAGGGUUUCCUCACGCACUUCUAGGGGGAGAUGAAAAACGGAGUGUGCUAUUGAGGGCUGAGGAUGGUGACUACAGUCGCCGGAAAAAAUGACGUCUCAAAACUCUGCUAAUCUCCAACAAGACGGAAUAAACUGCAUCCGUCUUCAGGCGGCAAUCAUCACCCCUCUCCUGCGCUCUUGUCCUCUCUGCUGGAUCACUUAUGUGUAUCUGUUCUUUUCCUCUCCUCUGCUGCUGCUCCAGCUUCUCUCCUUUCACGAAAAAGGUUUGGGCUUUUUCAUUCAGACGUCAGGCUCACUCUGUCAGCCUUUUGUUGCGAGCCACAGAGAUACACGGCAAAGAAGGGAGAGAGAGCAAACGGGAGGAGGGGGGGGGAAUAAAAAUGGAAAAGACCAAAAAACAAAUGGCUGGCACAGCUAUGCAGAGAAAUGAAAGAGGGAGGUAAAUAAAAAGAGAAAAGAGAAGAAAAAAAAUUCCUUGAAGCGCAGCAGUCACAGUGAGGGGUGCAGCGCUCCUGGCACACGUACGACUUUCUCUCUCAUUCUCGCCGACCUUCCCCUUCACUCAACAUAUUUUCCUUCCCUCCCACCCCUCUUUCUACCUCCCUCCUCCCCCCUCCCUGCCUCUCUGUUUUAUUAUUUGUGAUCUGGCCUUCAUGGUUCUUUAAGAGUGCCAGCCCCCUUUCCUCUCUCACUCCCAAACUCUCGGUCUCAUGCAGAGAUGCUUGCCAUUUAAUGCUUUAUUUCAAUUGCUGCUACAUGAUAGUGACGAGAGAAAAAGGACAAAUAAUGGCAAGAAGUCUAAAUGAUCGGGGGUCGGAGGAGGGAGGGGUCUGCCAUGUCACGAUGUCAUUUAAAAAGAGGUGUAAGCAAAACCUGUGACAUGGAAAAUUAAAGGUACUGUAGUACUCCAAUGAUGCCGAUUCAAUUCAUUGAAAUGUGAACAGUUUCUGCUCAUGGAUUUUCUUUUUGUAGGCAGUGGUCAAUUCAUCCAUUUAAGUACAUGAAAGAAAGAGCAGAAGUUCCCCAUUAAAUUAUUUGGGAAGUGAGGUGGGUAUUAUACGUAGUAUUGCCGAACCCAACACUGAUGUAGUCAUCUCGAUGCCCAGCCUAUAGGUGGUGUAGUAAUGUCCUAAACUUGGUAACAGAGGCAUGGUAACAGUGCACCCAACAUGAGAAACAGCCAUGAGCAAAGCGUAGGGGUCGGAAUGAAAUGCGUUGCUGAGAACACUGGCGAUAUCAUUGAUAGCAAUGAGCUGAAACGGACAGCAGAUCGCGGUAGCAUUCCAGCACUGGCUGUCACAACACACAGGAAACACGAGUUGAACUAAUGAUUUAGCCAUUGACCGCUCAACCUCCUUAGCGGAGGAACCUAAUGUGCAUUUCAAUGGAAUGACUUGACUUCACUGAACAAAAUCACGCCUCUUCAUACGCAUGUCUCAAUAAGGGUGUUUUGUGAUGCAGGAAACCGCACAAAAUUCAGAAAUCUGAAUCACUCAAAAAUGCACCUUUUAAUUUCCGCCAAAGAAGCAAAAACAACAAUCCAAAUUCCAGUAAAAAAUCUGCAUAAUGAUGCCCUUAUAACCAUCAGUAUUAGCACAUAAAUUCAACUCCCGCACCACCUCUCCACCACAACUACUCCAGGUUGAGCUAAAUCUAUUGCUUCAUAAAAUCUUAAGCGUGAGUGUUUCAUCCAUAUUUAUUUACUACCUAAUCUCCCUACACCAUCUACACCAGGCAUCAGAGUAAAUAAUGUAAUGCACCACUUAAGAAGAGGAAAUAUUUGCAAGUUCGGAGCUUGUAAUGGCUCGACUAUGCUAAUUUGCUGUGGAAUCCAGAAUCCAUAAAUCCACGGCUUUCUUUUACGUAUCUGGGGUUCCAAAAUAGGCCGACUACACUACGUUCAAAAUGGUGACCAAGACAAAGGUGAUUUUUAAGAGCCUGUCAAAUGAGAAAGCAGCACAAUGGAAAGCAGUUGUCUGCAUCACGAGGAUAAAAUCCAAGCAGAUGAAUAGACGGAGAAGUGAAUAGAUGACUUUGAUCAUCAUUCCUUUCAGCAUAUGUUCAACACGCCACACUUUUUAGCCAGAGGCACUAGUUCUCCAUGUGGAGAGAUUCGAUUCGCUGUUACUAAUCUUAACCUGCUGUGAACGUUUCCAAAUUGGUGACCGGAAUUUGAUAUAUCUUCUUCUUACUUCUGACACACACCAACAUUCUGGGACAGUGUCCAGCCAGGAAUGCAGCUUCUAUUAAAUCUCACCCUCAAAGUCUGACAGCCAUCAUGGUAAUAUGGAUGACCACAUGUAGUGCUGCAGUUAUUUUAUUAACAUGUAUAAGGGUUACUGGAUUAUGCUGGUCAUAACAAAGUUUUUAAUACCCUGCGUAACCAGACAGCAAAAAGGAAAAGUUAAAGUUAAAUAAUGCUAAAACCAACUGUGAAUGUAAUUUGAAUUGUACAGUGUUUUCUCAGCAGUUGACAAGAGUUAUCCACUACUACUACUACUUGACCAUUGUUCAAAAACAUGGCCGAAUAAAGUGUCCAAUUCUGCACCCAUAUCGUAAACAGGCAGUGUGGUCAGCAGCUUAACACCCAUGAAGAUUUCAUUUUCUCAGCAUGAAUAAUUCAGGGAGACUCCCUGUCCGUCAGAGGGGAGAGAAAUUCAUCUUCACCUAACACUGCUCUUCUUUUCCUUCAUUGCUGUGCGCACAUUCUUCAUUUAUCUACUGUUCAUCUACAGUACAGU